Molecule: long non-coding RNA, 864 nt
Organism: Mustela lutreola (European mink)
Lineage: Eukaryota; Metazoa; Chordata; Mammalia; Carnivora; Mustelidae
Exons: 6
Source: RefSeq, a predicted model, not a curated record
UUUCCCGGUCCCGUUUACGUUUGUCCUGUUGCCGUCCCUAAAAUAAGGUGAUCCUCCACACGCGUUUGCUCCGCAGCGUGGAGGUUUCCGACAGACACCCCCCUCUCCAACUUCGGAUGGGAGCACCGCGUGUUGGUCAGGGACUUACCAAUUUGGGCUUCUUCCAGAGCUGAAAACCGAUUACAAAUACAAAACAGAUUUCACUACUGGACUUUAAUGCCAUAUAAAAAACAAGAUCUUCAAAAUAAUUGAAAAAGGUCCUCACCAAAGAAUAGAUGGAAUGUGAAUGGCAAGAUAUCAAGGAGGUUUUGGUAUUAGGUCUGAUGUGUAUCAGACCCUGAAAUGCUCGUGGAGUGAAUGAAGAAUUUCUGUUGGUACAUCAUGGGAACUAUACAGAGACAGCAAUGCAAUGGCGCGUUUCAAAAUCGUGAUGCCAAGAGUGUCCUCUUCCUUCUUCACCAUACCCUGGACUCCAUUUGCCACCUCCUGCUCUUCGUAGACAUGAGGGAUCUGAGAAAACAUUCACUAUCUGGAAUGCAGAACAAACCCUUCAUAAAUAUUUGGUAAAGCCCUUUGGGAAUUGUCACACUUUUGAGGUAACACCCAGUAGCACCAGCUCCUUCAGAGAAGUUUUGCUUCUGCCUGGCUAGUGGAAAUCAAAGUGAAGAGUGACUCGUGGGCACAGCCGCAUGACCAGACCGUGUUUUUAAUGCUAUGUGCACAAAUGUCUCUUCGAAGUUCCAGCAGGAGAGAAGCACGAUGAAGUGAGACACGGACAGCUCUAACCUGUCAGGCCAGAACCUGUGUCCAGCUGCAUGAUCUCUCCAGGAGGUGGCUAUUUUAACUUUUCUGGAUUUUUGGUCA